CUUCCUUGAACACCACUUGCGACGUCCUCUCUCCCGGCCACCGGCAUCAGGCGACGCCGAGGACUGAAGGCCUGUUCUUCGCAGCAAGCCGAGGUCGCGAUGUUUGCAGAGUACAUCAUCAUGCAGUGUCUCCACACUCAGAUGAUUAAUAGUGACAUGAGUCCAGUCCUGGGUGUGUGGAGGGCUGCACAGUGACGGGUAAAUCUACAGUACAGCAGGAGAGAGGAGAAAUCCCUCAGCAUGGGGACUGCUGUCCUGUCAUGUGCUGCAUUGCUAUUGAGAAACAGAGGGACUCUGACCUUUAGGAGGUGGAGGUGAUCCUCAGUGUCUCAGCCUGGCUUCUCUCAGUGUAGAGCAUCAGAGUUCUGCAGAUCUCCACCAGAUCUCCUUUCUCCUUCUCUUUGGUGUCCUACAGGAAUUCAAUCAAUGGAUUUCUGGAAAAAUCUUAUAAAUGCAGUUGUGGUCUUCAAACAAUUUUUAAGAGUGUCAGUAAAGAUGAGGUGUUCCAAAUAUUGUAAGAUCAUUGGGUUCUUAUUUCUUUAAUUCCAUUUUUAAAACAGCAUCUAAAUUAUGAUGCUAAUAUUUUGAAGGCCUUUGAUUCCUCAACAAUGAAUCCUUAGUCAUCUUUUAAACAAUUAAUCAGCAUUGUUUUUGAGCUAAUAAUUUAUGCACUUAUUUUUUUUCUUUUCUUUUUUUCAAACCCAUUCUUCUAGCAUUUUCUAGAAAAGUUUGAGACUAGCAUACUUUUGGUGUAUAUUGAAAGAAGUUUUUAGAUUCAUGUCUGUACAUAAUCAAGGCCCAACCUUAGGCAUGAAAGAGAGUUUGACUGAGAAGGCUUUUCAUGAAGAUCACUUGACUGUUA
Molecule: long non-coding RNA, 862 nt
Organism: Hemibagrus wyckioides
Lineage: Eukaryota; Metazoa; Chordata; Actinopteri; Siluriformes; Bagridae
Exons: 3
Source: RefSeq, a predicted model, not a curated record